This 492-nucleotide ribosomal RNA is filed under the name uncultured bacterium. RNAcentral's name for it is "partial 16S ribosomal RNA". It matches the Rfam family "Bacterial small subunit ribosomal RNA", at positions 29 to 507 of the family's 1533-position model. The record is from RNAcentral.
AUUGAACGCUGGCGGCAUGCUUUACACAUGCAAGUCGAACGGUAACAGGCCUUCGGGUGCUGACGAGUGGCGGACGGGUGCGUAAUGCAUCGGAACGUGCCCAGAGGUGGGGGUUAACGCAGCGAAAGCUGUGCUAAUACCCCAUGUGAUCUGAGGCUGACAGCGGGGGACCGGGCAGCAAUGUUUGGCCUCGCGCCUUUGGAGCGGCCGAUGUCGGAUUAGGUAGUUGGUGGGGUAAAGGCCUACCAAGGCGACGAUCUGUAGCUGGUCUGAGAGGACGAACAGGCAAAAUGGGACUGGGAAACGGCCCAGACUUCUAAGGGAGGGAGCAGGUGGGAAUUGUGGACAAUGGGGGGAAGCCUGAUCCAGCCAUGCCGGGGGCGGGAAAGAGGCCUUUCGGGUGGUAAACCCUUUUGGACGGAAAGAAAAGGCUGCGGCUAAUUACUGGGGUGGAUGACGGUACCGCAAGAAUAAGCAACGGCUAACUAUGUU